RNAcentral lists this transfer RNA (99 nucleotides) under Phaeomoniella chlamydospora. It matches the Rfam family "tRNA". Rfam says of the family: Transfer RNA (tRNA) molecules are approximately 80 nucleotides in length. Their secondary structure includes four short double-helical elements and three loops (D, anti-codon, and T loops). Lineage: Eukaryota; Fungi; Ascomycota; Eurotiomycetes; Phaeomoniellales; Phaeomoniellaceae. The record is from Rfam by way of RNAcentral.
GGGUGAUUAGCUCAGGGGUAGAGCGCUCGCUUUGCAUUGAGAUGAUUAUUCAACUGCUAAGCCUGCGAGAGGCCAAGGGUUCGAUUCCCUUAUCAUCCA